This 293-nucleotide ribosomal RNA is filed under the name Calophya shinjii. Its description in RNAcentral is "partial 12S ribosomal RNA". The record is from RNAcentral. Lineage: Eukaryota; Metazoa; Arthropoda; Insecta; Hemiptera; Calophyidae.
GAGUAUUAAAAGUUAAGAUCUCGAAACUCAAAGAAUUUGGCGGUAUUUUAUCUUAUCAGAGGAACUUGUUUAUUAAUUGAUACUCCACAACUAAAUUUACUUUUACUAUUUUAUUUGUAUACCGCUGUCAUGAAUAUAUUUGUAAAUUAAUUUUUAAAUUUUAUGAAUUUUAUGUUAGGUCAAGGUGCAGUAUGUUAAGAUAAAAAUGAGUUACUAUAAAAACUAUGAAUGUAGAAAUAGGAUUUGAUAGUAAUUAAAUAUAGUAAUUUUAUGAAAAAAGAUUCUAAAAUAUG